UACGAAGGGGGCUAGCGUUGUUCGGAAUUACUGGGCGUAAAGGGCCAGUAGGCGGCCAACUAAGUCCGACGUGAAAUCCCAAAGCUUAACUUUGGAACUGCGUCGGAUACUGGAUGGCUUGAAUUCGGGAGAGGGAUGCAGAAUUCCAGGUGUAGCGGUGAAAUGCGUAGAUAUCUGGAGGAAUACCGGUGGCGAAGGCGGCAUCCUGGACCGACAUUGACGCUGAACGGCGAAAGCUAGGGGAGCAAACGGG
This 253-nucleotide ribosomal RNA is filed under the name uncultured bacterium. RNAcentral's name for it is "partial 16S ribosomal RNA". It matches the Rfam family "Bacterial small subunit ribosomal RNA", at positions 524 to 776 of the family's 1533-position model. The record is from RNAcentral.